Molecule: ribosomal RNA, 481 nt
Filed under: uncultured Actinomycetes bacterium
Lineage: Bacteria; Bacillati; Actinomycetota; Actinomycetes
Description: bacterial SSU rRNA
Rfam family: Bacterial small subunit ribosomal RNA
Source: RNAcentral
UGGGGAAUCUUGCGCAAUGGGCGAAAGCCUGACGCAGCAACGCCGCGUGCGGGAAGAAGGCCUUCGGGUUGUAAACCGCUUUCAGCAGGAACGAAUCUGACGGUACCUGCAGAAGAAGGUGCGGCCAACUACGUGCCAGCAGCCGCGGUGACACGUAGGCACCAAGCGUUGUCCGGAUUUAUUGGGCGUAAAGAGCUCGUAGGCGGUUCAGUAAGUCGGGUGUGAAAACUCUGGGCUUAACCCAGAGCCGCCACCCGAUACUGCUGUGACUUGAGUCCGGUAGGGGAGUGGGGAAUUCCUAGUGUAGCGGUGAAAUGCGCAGAUAUUAGGAGGAACACCGGUGGCGAAGGCGCCACUCUGGGCCGGUACUGACGCUGAGGAGCGAAAGCGUGGGUAGCAAACAGGAUUAGAUACCCUGGUAGUCCACGCCGUAAACGUUGGGCACUAGGUGUGGGCCUCAACCAACGAGGUCCGUGCCGUC